RNAcentral lists this ribosomal RNA (330 nucleotides) under uncultured bacterium. Its description in RNAcentral is "bacterial SSU rRNA". It matches the Rfam family "Bacterial small subunit ribosomal RNA", at positions 568 to 898 of the family's 1533-position model. The record is from RNAcentral.
CGCGUAGGUGGUAGUGUAAGUCUGGGGUGGAAUCCCAGGGCUUAACCCUGGAACUGCCUUGGAAACUGCAUUACUUGAGUCAGUGAGGGGAGGGUAGAAUUCCUGGUGUAGCGGUGAAAUGCGUAGAUAUCAGGAGGAAGGCCUGUGGCGAAGGCGGCCCUCUGGCGCUGGACUGACACUGAGGCGCGAAAGCGUGGGGAGCAAACAGGAUUAGAUACCCUGGUAGUCCACGCCCUAAACGGUGGGCACCAGGUGUAGGGCUCGUAAGGGUUCUGUGCCGAAGGGAAACCAUUAAGUGCCCCGCCUGGGGAGUACGGCCGCAAGGUUGAA